AGAGUUUGAUCCUGGCUCAGGNUAAAGAACGCUAGCUACAGGCUUAACACAUGCAAGUCGAGGGGCAGCAUGGUCUUAGCUUGCUAAGGCCGAUGGCGACCGGCGCACGGGUGAGUAACGCGUAUCCAACCUGCCUUACACUCUUGGACAGCCUUCUGAAAGGGAGAUUAAUACAAGAUGUUAUCAUGAGUAAGCAUUUUCGCAUGAUUAAAGGUUUACCGGUGUAAGAUGGGGAUGCGUUCCAUUAGAUAGUAGGCGGGGUAACGGCCCACCUAGUCUUCGAUGGAUAGGGGUUCUGAGAGGAAGGUCCCCCACAUUGGAACUGAGACACGGUCCAAACUCCUACGGGAGGCAGCA
This 357-nucleotide ribosomal RNA is filed under the name uncultured bacterium. Its description in RNAcentral is "bacterial SSU rRNA". It matches the Rfam family "Bacterial small subunit ribosomal RNA", at positions 8 to 353 of the family's 1533-position model. The record is from RNAcentral.